UCCUUCUCCUUCUUCCUUAUUUUUCUGUUUUCUCUCGGCUAAACGGUAGCAGCCCUCUUCUCUCUUUCUGCUUCUCUCUCUGUUGGCACAGCAGGCAGUAAGAGCACCCCAAAGAACCCAUCCUCUUCUUUGUAUACAGAACGAAACUAGAAAACUCUCCAGCAGCCAUAGUAGAGCAGCACCACUCCUUUUGCUGCAGCAAUUCAGUAAAGGAAGGUGGAGCCAAACCAGAAACUCUCCCCUCUCUCCUCUGUAUUUUCUGCAGAAAUUCACCCAAGUUCUCUCUCUCUAACUCUCUGUGCUUCUCAUAGCCACGGUGCUAAAACAGGGAAGAAGGAUCCUCUCCAUCUCAGCGGCUCUUUCUCUGAGAAAGCAAAGAAAAAGGGGGAAGAAAUAUACCCUCUGAACCUCUCUCCUGUUCGGUUCCAGCAGCAGGGAGUUUUCUCUCCCUCUCUCUCUCGUUCGGCUCAACACAAGAAAGAAGAAGAACUCUUCUUUCUUCUUUGGGUCUCAGGAACAAAAGAAAUAGAAAAGAAAAGCAAACAAAAAAAUAAGGAAGAAAAUGGACCCAUCUCCUUCUCUUUACCACUGAUUAUAUCUGUGAACGUUUUCCUGAAGCCAGAAGAAUUACUCAUGAGAUUGUGGUGAUAACUACAAUCUCAUGCGAGUUUUUGCAGGGUGAAUAGAAGGUCAAGACUAUUGGAAUAAUUAUUUUAAUAUGUAAUAUUUGUUGGAGAAGACAAUAAUUAUGUAUUUAUUAAGUGCCGCAUGUGGCACAUAUGUUAUUAUUUUGGAUGUAAUUAUUAUAUCAGAACAAAAUGUUAUUAUUUUUAUAUA
This is a long non-coding RNA of Alnus glutinosa, 837 nucleotides long. RefSeq lists it as uncharacterized. Lineage: Eukaryota; Viridiplantae; Streptophyta; Magnoliopsida; Fagales; Betulaceae. The record is from RefSeq and is a predicted model, not a curated record. The transcript has 3 exons.